AAACACCAACACACCUGAUUCAAAUGAGCAGCACGUUCAGAACCCAUCCGGAUCUGCCGAUGCGUUGCAACCGGAGGCACCACCAGGGUUCCCUAAUUGCCCCUUUGAUACCUAAAAUGUUUUGAGUUAUCUUGUCACUAAUUUGCAGCAAGCAGGCAAAAAUAGACUCGGAGCUGCCCACCUACCAGAUUCUCGCAAUGAUGAUUCCUCACGUGGCAUUGGCGGCGUGAAGGUAAAGGGCGGCCUGCGUAGAAACCAGGAAGAUGUAAUCUGUUCCGAUAUCCACGAUCGUCCUCUUGACGUCCUCCUUGCUGGGAUUGCUGGCCCAUGUUGACGUGUACAGGGAGUAAGCUUCAUCCAGUCCGACUUUGUCUUGAGUGGGCGGUACUGAGGUGGCUCCUCACAUUAUGAUGUCACAAAGUGAGGAAUAUCAGCAAACGGAACCCCUUUGAAGACGUCCAUGUGGUGCCGGAAGCCAAGACGGAUGUUCUCGCCUUCCACCAUGCCGCCCUCCGUGUACACCACCCCCAGCUGAAGAUACAAAUGACCAUCAGACAUUUUGAGGCGGCAGACACCGUCUCCAGAAUGACGGCAACGGUGAGCAAGAUGGCAAGCUUCUCCAUCAUGACCAGAAUGAGUUCUUCGAUGACUCGGUCGCUGGACUUUUAUAAAGCGGACACACCCCCGGAGCCACCUAUGAAAAUACAAACUUCACUUCAUGAUCCCGGGAACAAGUAAAUUUGGCAGCAGUCUUUCUGAUUCAAGUCUGGACGUGGGAGAACUGACACGGGUACGGCCGGGUGUCCGAGUGGAUGAGAAGGUGCGUGGACAGCGUGGAGGAGCGCUUGAAGGACUUGCCGCACAUCUUGCACUCAAAACUUUUUUCCUGGACAAACACGGAAUGUGUCACGUGG
Long non-coding RNA from Syngnathus typhle (broad-nosed pipefish), 914 nucleotides. RefSeq lists it as uncharacterized. The record is from RefSeq and is a predicted model, not a curated record. The transcript is spliced from 7 exons. Lineage: Eukaryota; Metazoa; Chordata; Actinopteri; Syngnathiformes; Syngnathidae.